GCCCCUGUAACUCAGCUGGUUAGAGUAGCGGACUUUUAAUCCGCGAGUCGUGGGUUCGAAUCCCACCGGGGGCA
RNAcentral lists this transfer RNA (74 nucleotides) under Bifidobacteriaceae bacterium. RNAcentral describes it as "tRNA-Lys". It matches the Rfam family "tRNA". From Rfam's summary of the family: Transfer RNA (tRNA) molecules are approximately 80 nucleotides in length. The record is from RNAcentral. Lineage: Bacteria; Bacillati; Actinomycetota; Actinomycetes; Bifidobacteriales; Bifidobacteriaceae.